This 253-nucleotide ribosomal RNA is filed under the name uncultured bacterium. RNAcentral's name for it is "partial 16S ribosomal RNA". It matches the Rfam family "Bacterial small subunit ribosomal RNA", at positions 524 to 776 of the family's 1533-position model. The record is from RNAcentral.
UACGGAGGGCGCUAGCGUUGCUCGGAAUCACUGGGCGUAAAGCGCACGUAGGCGGCUUGUUAAGUCAGGGGUGAAAUCCUGGAGCUCAACUCCAGAACUGCCUUUGAUACUGGCGAUCUUGAGUCCGGGAGAGGUGAGUGGAACUGCGAGUGUAGAGGUGAAAUUCGUAGAUAUUCGCAAGAACACCAGUGGCGAAGGCGGCUCACUGGCCCGGUACUGACGCUGAGGUGCGAAGGCGUGGGGAGCAAACAGG